RNAcentral lists this transfer RNA (91 nucleotides) under Salipiger profundus. Its description in RNAcentral is "tRNA-Thr". Lineage: Bacteria; Pseudomonadati; Pseudomonadota; Alphaproteobacteria; Rhodobacterales; Roseobacteraceae. The record is from RNAcentral.
GCGCGCCGUCGGGCAGCUUGCGCACGAUCUCGUGCAGCGUGACCGCCGAGACGGUGGUUGCCCCCGCGCGUUCGACCUGCGCCGGCGCGCG